GGUUUUAUAGUUUAUAAAAAACUGUUAAAUUGCAAAUUUGAUAAUACAAUUAAUUGUUAAAACCU
RNAcentral lists this transfer RNA (65 nucleotides) under Ciconiphilus decimfasciatus. RNAcentral's name for it is "tRNA-Cys". Lineage: Eukaryota; Metazoa; Arthropoda; Insecta; Psocodea; Menoponidae. The record is from RNAcentral.